CAAUAGCAUAUAUUAACGUUGUUGCAGUUGAAAAGCUCGUAGUUGAACUUUUGGUAGGAGCGACCUGGCCUUGGGCGCAUGCCCUUGUUUGCCGUGUGUCGUAUCUGGCCAUCCUUUUCCGCUUCGGCGGGAAUCCUUUACUGUGAGUAAACUGGAGUGCUCAAAACAAGACGUUUGUUUGGUACAUUAAAGCAUGGAAUAAUAAGAUAGGACCUGGUUACUAUUUUGUUGGUUUGCAUAGCUAGGUAAUGAUUAACAGGGACAGUUGGGGGUAUUCGUAUUUAAUUGUCAGAGGUGAAAUUCUUGGAUUUAUGAAAGACGAACGACUGCGAAAGCAUUUACCAAGGAUGUUUUCAUUA
This 359-nucleotide ribosomal RNA is filed under the name uncultured eukaryote. RNAcentral's name for it is "partial 18S ribosomal RNA". It matches the Rfam family "Eukaryotic small subunit ribosomal RNA", at positions 592 to 975 of the family's 1831-position model. The record is from RNAcentral.